GACGAACGCUGGCGGCGUGCUUAACACAUGCAAGUCGAACGAUGAAGCCGGAGCUUGCUCCGGUGGAUUAGUGGCGAACGGGUGAGUAACACGUGAGCAAUCUGCCCUUGACUCUGGGAUAACUGCGGGAAACUGUAGCUAAUACCGGAUACGACACCUUGGGGCAUCCCAGGGUGUGCAAAGAAUUUCGGUCAAGGAUGAGCUCGCGGCCUAUCAGCUAGUUGGUGAGGUAAUGGCUCACCAAGGCGACGACGGGUAGCCGGCCUGAGAGGGUGACCGGCCACACUGGAACUGAGACACGGUCCAGAUUCCUACGGGAGGCAGCAGUGGGGAAUAUUGCACAAUGGGCGAAAGCCUGAUGCAGCAACGCCGCGUGAGGGAUGAAGGCCUUCGGGUUGUAAACCUCUUUUAGCAGGGAAGAAGCGAAAGUGACGGUACCUGCAGAAAAAGCACCGGCUAACUACGUGCCAGCCGCCGCAGUAA
RNAcentral lists this ribosomal RNA (483 nucleotides) under uncultured bacterium. RNAcentral describes it as "partial 16S ribosomal RNA". It matches the Rfam family "Bacterial small subunit ribosomal RNA", at positions 28 to 523 of the family's 1533-position model. The record is from RNAcentral.